GCAGGUCCCUCGUGCGGCGUUACCUCGCCCAAUCCCCCCAGGGUCGGAAGACAGCAAGGGUAAGUGAGCUCUGACGGGUGCACGGGGGACCCCUCCA
RNAcentral lists this signal recognition particle RNA (97 nucleotides) under Tessaracoccus sp. SD287. Its description in RNAcentral is "signal recognition particle sRNA small type". It matches the Rfam family "Bacterial small signal recognition particle RNA". From Rfam's summary of the family: The signal recognition particle (SRP) is a universally conserved ribonucleoprotein involved in the co-translational targeting of proteins to membranes. Archaeal SRP consists of a 7S RNA and homologues of the eukaryotic SRP19 and SRP54 proteins. In most bacteria, the SRP consists of a 4.5S RNA and the Ffh protein (a homologue of the eukaryotic SRP54 protein). The record is from RNAcentral. Lineage: Bacteria; Bacillati; Actinomycetota; Actinomycetes; Propionibacteriales; Propionibacteriaceae.